RNAcentral lists this unclassified non-coding RNA (299 nucleotides) under plant metagenome. RNAcentral's name for it is "partial contains 5.8S ribosomal RNA, internal transcribed spacer 2, and large subunit ribosomal RNA". The stretch from base 1 to 105 matches the Rfam family "5.8S ribosomal RNA", at positions 50 to 154 of the family's 154-position model. The record is from RNAcentral.
GAAAUGCGAUAAGUAAUGUGAAUUGCAGAAUUCAGUGAAUCAUCGAAUCUUUGAACGCACAUUGCGCUCGCCAGUAUUCUGGCGAGCAUGCCUGUUCGAGCGUCAUUUCAACCAUCAAGCUCUGCUUGCGUUGGGGAUCCGCGGCUGCCCGCGGUCCCUCAAAAACAGUGGCGGGCUCGCUAGUCACACCGAGCGUAGUAACUCUACAUCGCUAUGGUCGUGCGGCGGGUUCUUGCCGUAAAACCCCCAAUUUCUAAGGUUGACCUCGGAUCAGGUAGGAAUACCCGCUGGACUUAAGC